Molecule: ribosomal RNA, 512 nt
Filed under: uncultured bacterium
Lineage: Bacteria
Description: bacterial SSU rRNA
Rfam family: Bacterial small subunit ribosomal RNA
Source: RNAcentral
AGAACGAACGCUGGCGGCGUGCUUAACACAUGCAAGUCGAACGCGAAAGGGACUUCGGUCCUGAGUAAAGUGGCGCACGGGUGAGUAACGCGUAGAUAACCUGUCUUCAUGUCUGGAAUAAUACGCCGAAAGGGGUACUAAUACCGGAUAUUCUUGCUUUUCAUAAGUUAUGCAAGCAAAGGUGGCCUCUGCAUAUGCUACUGCAUGAAGAGGGGUCUGCGUACCAUUAGCUAGUAGGUGGGGUAAUGGCCUACCUAGGCGACGAUGGUUAGCGGGUCUGAGAGGAUGAUCCGCCACACUGGCACUGGAACACGGGCCAGACUCCUACGGGAGGCAGCAGUGAGGAAUAUUGCGCAAUGGGGGAAACCCUGACGCAGCGACGCCGCGUGAGUGAGGAAGGCCUUCGGGUCGUAAAGCUCUGUCAAGAGGAAAGAAGUGUACAAUGGCUAAUACCUGUUGUAUUUGACGGUACCUCUAAAGGAAGCACCGGCUAACUCCGUGCCAGCCGCGGC